This 503-nucleotide ribosomal RNA is filed under the name uncultured bacterium. RNAcentral's name for it is "partial 16S ribosomal RNA". It matches the Rfam family "Bacterial small subunit ribosomal RNA", at positions 30 to 523 of the family's 1533-position model. The record is from RNAcentral.
AUUGAACGCUGGCGGCAGGCUUAACACAUGCAAGUCGAGCGGGGUGAUGGUGCUUGCACUAUCACUUAGCGGCGGACGGGUGAGUAAUGCUUAGGAAUCUGCCUAUUAGUGGGGGACAACAUCUCGAAAGGGAUGCUAAUACCGCAUACGUCCUACGGGAGAAAGCAGGGGAUCACUUGUGACCUUGCGCUAAUAGAUGAGCCUAAGUCGGACUAGCUAGUUGGUGGGGUAAAGGCCUACCAAGGCGACGAUCUGUAGCGGGUCUGAGAGGAUGCUACGACACACUGGGACUGAGACACGGCCCAGACUCCUACGGGAGGCAGCAGUGGGGAAUAUUGGACAAUGGGGGGAACCCUGAUCCAGCCAUGCCGCGUGUGUGAAGAAGGCCUUAUGGUUGUAAAGCACUUUAAGCGAGGAGGAGGCUCUUUUGGUUAAUACCCAAGAUGAGUGGACGUUACUCGCAGAAUAAGCACCGGCUAACUCUGUGCCAGCCGCCGCCGUAA